AUGUGUUAUCAAAACCUUUGCAAGCUGAAAACAACUGUUCCUUCCUACUGAAGAGAGGCUUUUUGUGUGACACCCAUUGUUAAAUAGACUCAGGUGUGCACUGAAGCAAUUACAGCUUCUCCCACCACCACAGUCACUUGCCUCUAGACAAAGGAAAUCAGACAGCCUUGUAAAGCAUUUAUUUGCUGUACCUAGACAAUUUCUUUAAAAAACUCUACCUCCAGAACAAGAGAUUGCUACCUUAACUCAGGAAAUGCAGUUAUGCCUUGAAUUUGUUCAAAUAUGUAGAGAAUGAUUGCAUUCACCUCAUCUGUCUACCUGAAAGGUAUAAAAAGGAAGAAAACUGACUUGUUCUGUACCACUUGCAGUUAGAGAUUAUUCUAACCGGUAGUGCACUGAAGCUCAUCUACAUAAACUUCAUUCUUCUAUGCUGUUGUUUAUCCUUCCAACAAUUCCAUUGUCAGUACUCUUUCCUAAUGUAGCCUUACAAGUGCUCUGUCCAUAACCUACUUCAUGUGACUUGUCUUGCAUUUUGACCUUGGUAUUCCAUAAUUUAGACUAAACUCCUAGAUUUAAUUUUGCUCUGUCUGUAAGGUAUCAUUGUAACUUAUGCUGUUAAAAAGAAUAACCCAGUUUAAAGUUGUGCAGAAAACAGCAGCUCAGUUGUGACUACUUGUUCAUUUAAGCCAUUUUCAAACCCCAGACAUCAGGUCACCACCUUAGCACACCAAAAAUGUAAAUAAUACAGUAGGCAGGUCAAAUAAAAAUCACAUCAAAAUGUGCAGACAAGGGGCAAUGAAAUGUUUAAAACAUCCAACAUUUCAAAAGGACAUACACCCUGUUAAAUUCUGCUGACCUAACACAGAUGACAACAGCACUCUAGGUCCAAUGGCAGUUCUGCAAUAGUACCUGCCUCUUCCUCUGGUCAAGAGUGGCCUUUUGGGCCUUCUCUUCUAGAUGUGCAAAGCAGGCACGCUUGCUCCCAGGGGGCUAGGAUGGAAGGAUUAAAUCAGGCAAAAAGGGGUCUAAGAUGAUAUUUUGGUCCCUGAAUAAACUAUACUACUGUAGUACAAACGCUAAUUGUGGGGGAACCCUGCUGCCUAUAAGUGAGAUAUUCAGUACCUACGACUGUGCAUGUGCCAUUCCUUCAUGACUUCAUGAAACCAGAGUAUGUUGUACAGAGCUAAAUAAAGUGGCUUGUCAAACUGGAUGAUGAAGCACCCUACAUUCAGAUACCUAGAAACGCAGCAACAGUUCAUGUUGCAGUCAACUUUCUGUGUGUCUUUCUUUUAAUUGACUUAAUUCUUAGAAAUUGACAGUAAUCCUAUCUAAGCAACUUAAAUUGUAAAGUUUGAAUCCAAGGUUUUUCGAUUCUGGGUGCAUGUGAUGCAUAGUUUAGGCUUUGAAACCUAGAAGGCCUAUGCAUUAUGUUGAAAUACAAAAUGUAUGUUUAAAUGUCUUUCUGGACUCUGUGGCUUAAGACGUAUUUAAUGAAUUCUACGUCACUUGGACUCAAUUUAAAGUAUUUGCUAUGCAGAAGCAGCUUUGUGUAAAUACUGCCAUAAGAGGAAGAAAAC
Molecule: long non-coding RNA, 1577 nt
Organism: Cygnus olor (mute swan)
Lineage: Eukaryota; Metazoa; Chordata; Aves; Anseriformes; Anatidae
Exons: 3
Source: RefSeq, a predicted model, not a curated record